GCCGGCCGGCCGGCCGUCUGUCCGUCCGGGAACCUCCGCGCUCCGGGCGAGGGUUGCCUGCGGAGCUGCGAGCCGGGGGCGGCUCCCUGAGGCCGGCAGCAUGGGGAGCCGGGCGGACCUCCGCAGACAUGGGGGGCUGCCGCGCGCCGCUCCGGCUCUCCCACUCAGUCCCCCCUCUGCCCCUUCCUUACAUUUUCUUCCUGAAAGGGGUCCUCGGUGAAGUUUGUCAUGGUUAUUUAAGGAACCUCACCUAGAAGUCCCAACACGCAUUUCCCCAUCGACGGGAAGGCUUGGACUCCAAGAUGAUUAUAAAGGAAUAUCGGAUUCCUCUGCCCAUGACCGUGGAGGAGUACCGCAUCGCCCAGCUGUACAUGAUACAGGCGACCUUCCUCUGCUCCUGCUUUGGCACUGUCUUACCUACCACUGGCCUCUGAACUCCUGGGGGCGCCAUCCACCAUGGGGGGUGAUGGACGAGCAUAUUAUCUCCAUUGUGUGACAGUUUGACGUGUGCAAACAUGCAUCCCAGCUCACCAGCUGCAUCUUUACAUAUAUGUGGUUGGCUGUGUGCCAAUCAUAUCUCAGUAAAGCUGUUAAAACACUAAGUCAAAUGCAGACUUUUCUGGGCCCAGCCUGGGCGGAGGGCUGGGUUACUGAGAAGAAUGGAAAGAGCUUCCUGCUCUCCAGGAGUGCCAUCGGGGAGGUGGAUGUGCGUGCAGCUUACCGAAUGUAGGCCAGGAGACAGGGCGCGGAUGUUCACGGGGGCCUCGGGCCAGCGGCCCCGGGAGAGCCUCCACUGUGAGCUGGGCCUCACACGGUGGAUAGGCCCUCAAGGAAGACAGCUGUGUUUCUGUGGAAAGAAGAGGAAAUUUAGUUUCUUUGCUCCUGCCCAGCUUACCGGCUGGGGUGGCCGCUAGCAACGGGUCUGCCUUCUGAACUCACCACCUCCUCCAUGGGCUCGUGAGUGAGGUGGGAUGAGCUCACGUGUCAAACUGCUUCAUGCUGUGCCUGACCAGCGCUCAGUAUACAUGCUGUUCAAGGCAACAACAACAAAAAGAAGAAGAAGAAGAAGAAGGAAAGAAGAAGAGUUGUUCUGGCUGGGAGAGAGCCUUCCAUCACCCGUGGAGGUGCUCAGCAGAUGCUUGCCUUGGAGGGAGUGACUGGAGGUGGCUUAGCCAGGACCCUGGACAGCUCCAAGAGCGGCUCCUUGGGAGGGGGCCUUUGAGUCCUUCAUCCCGUGCUUUUUCUGCCCAGGCCCAUGGUGGCUCAGGUCCCUACCAUGCAGCCCCCAGAUCCCACAGGAUGGGGGAGGGGGGAGUUCCCCACUCAGCCUGUGUGGGCAGGGGUCAUGAGUCAGGCCUCCCCCUGGGCACAUGUGUGCCCCUGGGGAGCUGGGCUUGUCUCUGCUGCCUUUCUGCAGUCUCCCUGGGAGGCUCCACAGCGCAGCUUGUGGGAAUGGUUGGCAAGGGUGGGGCCGGUGGCUUCUGGUGUGGGCAGAGAAGGUCAGCACGAUUCGAGAAGAGCUUACUCCUCUGUGGCAUGACUGAGAGCCUCAGCUGAGCAGGGGACUGGGCACCCCCGGAUGCCAUUGCCAGAGGGGAGCCAAGGGUCAGCCCUUUGGGAUGUUAGCUCCAAAGUUGGAGGAGGUGCCCAGGCUCAGAGGGAACCAGUGAUAGUUGAGACCAGGACCCAUUUGUUCAUCCAGCUGAUCUUUACUGUGCAGGCGGGGAAGAAAGUGCUUUGCAGGGAGUACAGAUGCACUCCCGGUCUGGGUCGCCGCGGCUCUGCCACUGCUCACUGUGGCCCGUGUGGCCCCAAAUGGCCUGUGUUAUCCAUCUCCCAUGAGUGACUUGUGUCCCCCCAAAUUCACAUUCACCCAGAACCUUAGACUGUGACCUUAUUUCGAAGCAGGGUCUUUGCAGAGGUAAUUAGUUAAGGACCUUGAGAUGAGAUCAUCUUGGAUUGAGAGUGGGCCCUAAAUCUAAUGACUGUUGUCCCUAUAGGAAGAGGAGAAGACAGAGAAAAGGUGAAGGUCAUGUGACGGUGGAGGCAGAGAGCAGAGUGAUGUGGCCACAAGCCUAAGAAUGCCUGGGGCC
This is a non-coding RNA of Leptonychotes weddellii (Weddell seal), 2093 nucleotides long. The record is from RefSeq and is a predicted model, not a curated record. Lineage: Eukaryota; Metazoa; Chordata; Mammalia; Carnivora; Phocidae.